GAACCUGGACCCUCAGACACAAAAGGUCAGGACCACAGACUGAGAGCAGAGUCUCCAGGAUCCAGCUGUCCGCCUAUGAAGAGAGCAAGAUUUUCAGCAGAUAGUGGUCUGCAGGAGGUUUUAGAUGA
This is a long non-coding RNA of Toxotes jaculatrix (banded archerfish), 128 nucleotides long. RefSeq lists it as uncharacterized. The transcript is spliced from 3 exons. Lineage: Eukaryota; Metazoa; Chordata; Actinopteri; Toxotidae. The record is from RefSeq and is a predicted model, not a curated record.